GGACGAACGCUGGCGGCGUGCUUACCACAUGCAAGUCGAACGGAAAGGCCUGCUUUCCCUUGUGGAUUGCGGGUACUCGAGUGGCGAACGGGUGAGUAACACGUGAGUGAUCUGCCCCCAACUUGGGUAUAAGCCUGGGAAACUGGGUCUAAUUCCCGAUAGGACUGCAGGGUGGUGCCUGUGGUGGAAAACGAUUUUCUAGUGGUUGGGGAUGAGCUCGCGGCCUAUCAGCUUGUUGGUGGGGUAAUGGCCUACCAAGGCGGCGACGGGUAGCCGGCCUGAGAGGGUGGACGGCCACAUUGGGACUGAGAUACGGCCCAGACUCCUACGGGAGGCAGCAGUGGGGAAUAUUGCACAAUGGGCGGAAGCCUGAUGCAGCGACGCCGCGUGGGGGAUGACGGCCUUCGGGUUGUAAACUCCUUUCGACCGCGAGGAAGCCACCUGGUUGGAAGGGUGGUGACGGUAGUGGUAGAAGAAGCACCGGCUAACUACGUG
Molecule: ribosomal RNA, 495 nt
Filed under: uncultured bacterium
Lineage: Bacteria
Description: partial 16S ribosomal RNA
Rfam family: Bacterial small subunit ribosomal RNA
Source: RNAcentral